UUAAACAUACAAGAGUUCUUUAGUCUUUAGUUCUUUAUCGUAUCCUUCUCGGUCGAUUCUCGAAUCUAUUGAACGUCUACCCGAUAUUCGUCUCGUGAUACGAGCAGUGUAGUGUAUCCGUCAAUUUAAUAAGGCAUAUCCCCGUGGCACACCUUGUCACAUUGUCAUCGUCGAAUAAACUCCUUUUCGAAGCGGUCUAACCUCUUAAAACGGUAAAGAACCUUUGGUCUUUACUUCUUUAAACGCGGUGAUAGAGUGGUUGAAAGGUGAGGAGGCACUCGAGCGGUGCCGGAAGAGACGCGAGGACGUACUGAAGGGGUUGGCUGGGCUGCCUUUAUGCCGUAACAACGAGGGCCCACUUCAUAGGGCAGGAAGCACAAAGACGAGAAUUUACCCGUACCACUCUACUCAUUCGUGUUCCCUGUCCGCACAUCUCGAAGUUCAUGAUUCCAAGGACAUGGAACUUGCAAUAGAUCAUGCAGAGAUCGAGGACCAGAAAAUACAUGAUCCCAUAGUUGUAAAAAUCGUCACAAGUCAUCUGAAAGUCGAAAAAUCUCGAGAUGUAUUCAUAUCUCGAGAAUGGUGAUGCAACCAGGAAACAAGGAGUAGACAAUGGUAUAACGCUUGAUCAGAAGUGAAAUGUCAAGGUAAAGAGCAGUAAAGAGGCUCAAGCGUGUUCGAUGAACAGCACGCAACCGUUAGCCUAACAAGCUGUCAAGACGUCGCCGCGUGUCAAUCCAAUGGUCUCUACGCACCCUUCGAAUAAAUCUACUGGGAGUCUGUUUCCACCCCCUUUCUCGACGCCGCACCAACCAGAACUGCUGUUGUUUCUCAACCACCGCUUGCGAACUUUUAGCCCUAUGAAUGAUUUAACCUCUUAGAUUACGUUCCUCUCGUAUCCAGUCUUGCAUAUUCCUUAUCUUUCAAAGAUAAAUUAAACUCAAGCAAGUCAAUUGUAGACUGUGUAUUUUUAUGCAUUUAGAUGAAAUUUAAUAGUGCAAAAAUGUAUGGAAUGCGUACAAUGUGCAGAAAUACAUGGAAUACCCAAAGUAGAGUACCGAUUAUAAUUUUUAAUAGAUAGGUCUCAAUUUUCUCUAGUUGUGCACAUAAAAACGUAAAUUUGUAUAAAAAUCCGAGGUGUAAUAACCGAUAGAAAGCAUACUAUUUUGUCUCCUUCUUAAUUUCAAAACUUUGCAAUUUAUUGCUUUGGGAUCUUAAUAAAAUUAUCAGCUACAAACGUGUUGGAAUUCGAUGUUUUAUUGAAUUAUUAUGGCUGUAUUUAA
Long non-coding RNA from Bombus pyrosoma, 1283 nucleotides. RefSeq lists it as uncharacterized. The transcript has 5 exons. NCBI's taxonomy places the organism in Eukaryota, Metazoa, Arthropoda, Insecta, Hymenoptera, Apidae. The record is from RefSeq and is a predicted model, not a curated record.